UACAGAGGGGGCAAGCGUUGUUCGGAAUUACUGGGCGUAAAGGGCGCGUAGGCGGCCUUCUAAGUCAGACGUGAAAUCCCCCGGCUUAACCUGGGAACUGCGUCUGAUACUGGAGGGCUUGAGUGCGGGAGAGGGAUGUGGAAUUCCAGGUGUAGCGGUGAAAUGCGUAGAUAUCUGGAGGAACACCGGUGGCGAAGGCGACUCUUUGGUCUGUAACUGACGCUGAGGCGCGAAAGCGUGGGGAGCAAACAGG
RNAcentral lists this ribosomal RNA (253 nucleotides) under uncultured bacterium. RNAcentral describes it as "partial 16S ribosomal RNA". It matches the Rfam family "Bacterial small subunit ribosomal RNA", at positions 524 to 776 of the family's 1533-position model. The record is from RNAcentral.